UUUAGUUUUUGCUAUUUUGGGUUUCGACCCCAUAAAAAGAUGAUUCAUCAUCUAAAAC
This 58-nucleotide transfer RNA is filed under the name Scutopus ventrolineatus. RNAcentral's name for it is "tRNA-Arg". Lineage: Eukaryota; Metazoa; Mollusca; Caudofoveata; Limifossorida; Scutopodidae. The record is from RNAcentral.